GUACUACUGAAGAGUCCCAAACUAGGACGAUACAGCUGUACAGUAC
Molecule: non-coding RNA, 46 nt
Filed under: Trichobilharzia regenti
Lineage: Eukaryota; Metazoa; Platyhelminthes; Trematoda; Strigeidida; Schistosomatidae
Source: RNAcentral